RNAcentral lists this ribosomal RNA (605 nucleotides) under Tricholoma roseoacerbum. Its description in RNAcentral is "partial small subunit ribosomal RNA". It matches the Rfam family "Bacterial small subunit ribosomal RNA", at positions 438 to 943 of the family's 1533-position model. Lineage: Eukaryota; Fungi; Basidiomycota; Agaricomycetes; Agaricales; Tricholomataceae. The record is from RNAcentral.
UAUGGUGAUUAUGAUAACAUAAGGGAAAAAAAUGAUAUUACCUUAUUAUUAGUGUUGUCCAAAACUGGUGCCAGAAGACUCGGUAAGGCCAGAGACGCAAACGUUAGUCAUCUUAAUCAGGCGUAAAGGGUGUGUAGGCUGCUUUAACUGUUUAUUUUUGUUUUAGCUAUUUAACCGUAAUAUUCCCUAAUUUAUAUAGAGAUAUACUAUAUAAGUUUUUAAUCAAGGAAUAAAUGAUAUAUAAAAACAAAAAAAAAUAUAUUCGUGUUUCAGAUAAUGAAAAUAAAUGAAUUAAAGCUAGGAUCAAAUUGAGGAUAAGCCAAAUAAUACUUAGAGUAGGGGUUAAAUCCAUAGAUACUAAGGGGAAUACUAACGGUGAAGACUUUUUAUCUACUAUUGAUUGACGCUGAGAAACGAAGGUGAGAAUAGGAAAUAGGAUUAGAUACCCAGAUACCUCUCACUGUCAACGAUGAAUGGUGGUUAGUUAGUUUUAGUAAAAACUGGUAACGAUGUUAACGCGAUAACCAUUCCGCCUUGCGAGUACGGUUGCAAAACUGAAACCAAAAAAAUUAGUCGGUCUCGAAGCAAACGAAGUGAAGCAUGUU